GUGCUCGCUUCGGCAGCACAUAUACUAAAACUGGAGCGAUAGAGAUUAGCAUGGCCCCUGCACAAGGAUGACACGCAAAUUCGUGAAGCGGUCCAUAUUUAA
Small nuclear RNA from Echinops telfairi (small Madagascar hedgehog), 102 nucleotides. The record is from Ensembl. NCBI's taxonomy places the organism in Eukaryota, Metazoa, Chordata, Mammalia, Afrosoricida, Tenrecidae.